Molecule: non-coding RNA, 111 nt
Filed under: Novibacillus thermophilus
Lineage: Bacteria; Bacillati; Bacillota; Bacilli; Caryophanales; Thermoactinomycetaceae
Description: SAM-I sequence
Rfam family: SAM riboswitch aptamer (S box leader)
About the family: The SAM riboswitch is found upstream of a number of genes which code for proteins involved in methionine or cysteine biosynthesis in Gram-positive bacteria. The SAM riboswitch acts at the level of transcription termination control.
Source: Rfam by way of RNAcentral
UUCUUAUCCAGAGUGGUGGAGGGACUGGCCCGAUGAAGCCCGGCAACCUGCUGAUCUUUUCGAUUGGCAAGGUGCCAACUCCUGCAAGACAGCGGUCUUGAAAGAUAAGGA